Molecule: ribosomal RNA, 482 nt
Filed under: Streptomyces sp. SID9944
Lineage: Bacteria; Bacillati; Actinomycetota; Actinomycetes; Kitasatosporales; Streptomycetaceae
Description: partial 23S ribosomal RNA
Rfam family: Bacterial large subunit ribosomal RNA
Source: RNAcentral
CAACGGAUAAAAGGUACCCCGGGGAUAACAGGCUGAUCUUCCCCAAGAGUCCAUAUCGACGGGAUGGUUUGGCACCUCGAUGUCGGCUCGUCGCAUCCUGGGGCUGGAGUCGGUCCCAAGGGUUGGGCUGUUCGCCCAUUAAAGCGGUACGCGAGCUGGGUUUAGAACGUCGUGAGACAGUUCGGUCCCUAUCCGCUGUGCGCGUAGGAGUCUUGAGAAGGGCUGUCCCUAGUACGAGAGGACCGGGACGGACGAACCUCUGGUGUGCCAGUUGUUCUGCCAAGGGCAUGGCUGGUUGGCUACGUUCGGGAGGGAUAACCGCUGAAAGCAUCUAAGCGGGAAGCCUGCUUCGAGAUGAGGACUCCCACCCACUUGAUGGGGUAAGGCUCCCAGUAGACGACUGGGUUGAUAGGCCGGAUCUGGAAGCACGGUAACGUGUGGAGGUGACCGGUACUAAUAGGCCGAGGGCUUGUCCUCAGUUG